This 350-nucleotide long non-coding RNA is filed under the name Mytilus galloprovincialis (Mediterranean mussel). Lineage: Eukaryota; Metazoa; Mollusca; Bivalvia; Mytilida; Mytilidae. The record is from RNAcentral.
GCUAUUUAAUCCACCAUUUUCUACAUUUGAAAAUGCCUGUACCAAGUCAGGAAUAUGACAGUUCAUGUCCAUUUGUUUUUGAUGCGUUUUGUUAUUUGAUUUUGCCAUGUGAUUAUGGACUUUCCGAAUUGAUUUUCCUCUAAGUUCAGUAUUUUUGUGAUUUUACUUUUUGCAAGUGAUUCCAGUGAAAAAAAAAUGGUCACUUUAAAGAUUUUCUUUCUGGAAGUUACGAUUAUAAAAUCACAAUUGUUAUGUGAAAUUAUUACAUAAAGUCAAGAUAUCUUUACUAUUUUGCUAUUAGAAAAAUCAUGUAAAGGUACCUUCAAUUUUAUUUUUUUGUUUAAUGGUGC